This 103-nucleotide microRNA precursor is filed under the name Marmota monax (woodchuck). The record is from RNAcentral. Lineage: Eukaryota; Metazoa; Chordata; Mammalia; Rodentia; Sciuridae.
AGUGAGAUAGCUGGGUUAAAUGGUGGUUCUAUUCCAAGUUUUCUAAGGAAUCUCUACACUGCUUUCAAGAUUGGUUGCACCAUUUUGCAGUCCCACUAGCAAU